UUGGUUUUUGGCAUCCUACAGAAAGGUGGUGCGUGCUUGCGCAAGAGCAUUCACUGUGCACUGUUUGCCUUUGCUCUUUCUUCAUCCUCUGUCCCCUUCUCACCUCCAGAUGGUACUGACAGCAGGCAUGUGGUACUCUCAGGAGGGAAAACAGAGGCCAGGGAGGUGAAGCCACUUCUUCAGGGUCAGAUGUUGAACAGCAAGAUGGAGAGCUCAGCCCUGUCUGGGGGGACUCCAUCAUGUGGGGUUGUGGGGAGUCCCCUGAGGGGGGAUGUGGUCUGACAGCAAGGGCUUAAAGCACAGCUCGGAGUCCCUGCCCCUUCCUCUCCUCUACUUGCAACUCGUUUUCUAGACUAUCAAUCACUCACCUCUUUGGGCUAACUCUGCCAGGCUCCUCCCACAGAUCCAGGAACCCAAGUACAAGUCUGUACUCCAGGAACCAUUGCCAAGGAGAUCAUUACUCAUUAACUCUGGGGACUCACUAUAAAGUCUAAGCACGACAUCAACAGCAGCCAGGCACCAAGCAGCUGCAAGGGAUAGCGGGCACCAAGCAGGGUGGGAUUGCUGCUGGAAGUGAGCCUGUGGGCCUGCAUCAGUCAGUCAUCACCCACGAUGGAAGAAAAGCCAACAGAGAAAUACAAAUAGCAGUGGAAGCAGUAAUGUAAACAUCUUACAAGUAAGGUCAAAACUGCUGUAUUGUAUUUAUCAGCUGGAUUAGAGUGAAAAAUGAGAUGUGCUCGGAGUGUUUUUGCAGAUAUCUAGCAGGUCGGUGCUGUGAGCUGCUGGGCUCAAUGCAGCACUAAUGCUUGGUAAGUGGUGAAUUACCCACGUAUUGCCUAGACAUGUGAGCUCAGCUUGGAGUGUUAAAUGGCUGUUGAAGUACUUCCUUAGCAAAGACAGCUACUCCAUUUUUCUCAGUAGCUUUUCCAACCAGCACUCCUUCCUUUCACACCUCCUCUCUGAGGGGCACAGAUGCUGUUGAACAGAUCUAAGCACAGAGUUUUUUCUGUGUCCUAGGAGCUGGCUUAGUCUUUUAUUAAUUUUAUAUAUCUAUGUCUGCACCUCCUUUCCUUCAGAGUAAAGGUCAAAUAUCUGCUAUUCUAACACUACCCAAGUUAAAGUCAUGCUUUUGUUGAACUCAACCAGGGGAGCAGGUAACCUGCAGGGAUUUCUAAGGAAAACUCAUGGAGCUGAAUGCAAAGCUAGAGGUGGCCAUUGGACCUACAUCAUAACUGCCCUGUCUCUGCACUGGAGGUUGCCCUGGGCUUUGGGGAGGCAUCUGUGCCACCCCAGUGUCAUCUGGGACAGUCACCAGCACACAUGCCUGUGUUAAACCAGUGCCUCUGGAGGGUGCUUCUCUCCAGCAUUUUGCCUGGUUGCUCAAGCAGGACAGUUGCAGGAAAAAUAUUUGUUCCUGGUUUCCAUGUGGCAGCAGGAGACCCAAGACAGCCUACUUGGAACAUGAAUGCCUGGAGGCUUAUAAGUCCUGAGUCAGCUUCAAGAAACCAUUCCUUGAUGGCCUUCCAGAUCCAAAGCCUCUGCUUAGCAAGGUACCUCAUCUUACCUAAAAAGAGGAAGUCCAAGAUGAUCAUCACCUGGUUUCCCUGGGUAUCUAGCCAGGAUCAACAAGUUACCAAUCAGGUUAGUUAUGAUAAGGGCAAUAUUGAAUAUCAACAUAGUUCACCUAAACCCCCACUGCAGCUAAAAUCUGCCAGCAAGGAUGAAGAAUAAAUAAGCACAUCAUUAAGCUAAUGAGACCCAUAUGCUUGUGUAGGCAAAUAAAAGUGAGCUAAAUCUAUUGAAGAGCCAAAAAGCAGAUGAAUGAACCAUGACUGACAUCCUGGAAUCAUGUUUAAAAUGCAAAUAUUGAUAUUUCUCACACUUCUUUUCCCUUAUGUAAAUCACAUCUAAAUAAGGCAUCUGGUAGAAGAGAAUGUAUUUCUGCCUUUGAGCUCUUUCUCAAAUGAAUGAAGUAAACCCAAUUUGAGAGAAUACCUACAGACUGCUACAAUUACUGGAGACUGCAGACAGCUGGGGAGUCACAAACAAGACUUGUCAUCGUGGUGGAAGCUGAGCCUGAAAGUAAUUUGUAUCCCAAUCUGCACAAAUUAAUCUGAGAUCUUGUCUCCCAAAAAAGCGAGCCACACCAUUUCCAACCGGGAUGAAACUGCAACUGUUGGGUUUGUGGAAUCCAGAAACAGCUGCAGUCAGAAAGAACUUUAACAUCAGAGAAAUUAUCCUCUUUCUUCCGUUUUGUUUCCAUGUUACUUAUACAGAAGAAGAAAAAGAAGGAAAGAUAAUAAAACCUACCAGCUUUUAUGAGCUUGAUAUUACUUUUUCAGGAAAUGUGUAUCUCAGGGAAGAAUUUUCUUUCCUUUGCUAAAGGUUUGGGCUACUUGUUGCUAUGCACUUGCUCUUCUAGGAGCUGCUGUCCAAGACAUUUAUUGCUUUGCAGGUCUGACAGAUCAGCCCAUCUUUCCUGACCAGUCACGUCAUUUAAUUGGGCAAAUUAUCUCUUAUAUCUAGUGCUGGCAGAAGGCUAUGAGCUUCAGGUUACCCUCCAGGGAAAGCAUGCCAAAAUUUCUCUCUUUCCCUUUGCUAAGUGCCACUUUGAAUCGAUGGAGAUCCUGACUCAAUUAGCGUGGGAUGGACCAGCCCUCCUGCCUGCUAAGAUGCGAGGACAGGGCUUGCUUUUGCCCUGAGUGUGGUUAUUACAGCAUGUGCCCCUGGGUGCUGGUGUUUGUGACUGAGAGCAAAGUGACUGUGAAUUUAGAGCCAAUUCAAAAGGAGGUCAGGGAGGAAACUCUAUGUGGUGGGGGCUGCUUACACUGAGGAAGAGGAUUCUUGGUCAAUGUUACACUCACAUGCUUGCGUAAUGCAUCUUCCCCAGUGACACCCAGGGAUUGCACUGGGAGCUAGAAUGAGCCUAGCAUCAGAUAGUCUUCUUGUGAUACACUGUAUGUAGCAUAGCGUACAUGUAAUACACUGGCUCAUACAGGCAAGUGUGUGAUACUAAAUGUUUGACUCAAUGGCAGUCAGAUGUAUUUUCUUAGCUACUUCCCUCUUCAUAUAUGUAUUUUUGCCUUUUGCUGAUAUUCUUAUUUUUCUGGCUGCCAUUUCAGGGAGCAGAAAGAAGAAAUAUACCAUUUUCCUUGGCUUCCUUUUGGACUAUCUUCCUGAAAGCAAAAAACCUGUGAAUAUUCAUCACUUUUAGUUUAAUUCAUAGUGCAUUCUCAGAUGGAAGGCUCAAGUAAUUAGCAGGUCCGCUGUUCUGGGAUUUGACAGCAUUGCAACAUCUCCAACUAGAAGCCUGUCAAAGAGCCUCCUGACAAAAGCUUUGUUGUGGUCCAUGUUACAUCUACAACGUCACUGAAAUAUAACCUAGCUGUUGUGACUAGAGAGGUGCACUGAGUCAGUGCCUUGCAUAGGCUGAAGCAUCGCUUUAGCAUUUGAAGGUAAAGGUCUACACAAAAUGAAAGACAACACGAGCUCAGGCUUCCACGGGGUUUUAAGCUCUUGGUACUAAGGAUGCAUUUACAUCUCAAGCAGACUCCUGGUAACUGCGGACAAACUUGACUCUAUUCACAGCUCUCACCCACUCCUCAAGCCCACGCACGCUUCCCGCACAGCGCCUUGCGCACAGAUAUGUCUCAUUAAGAAGUGAGUUGAUUAUCUUUUCC
Long non-coding RNA from Pezoporus flaviventris, 3680 nucleotides. RefSeq lists it as uncharacterized. The record is from RefSeq and is a predicted model, not a curated record. NCBI's taxonomy places the organism in Eukaryota, Metazoa, Chordata, Aves, Psittaciformes, Psittacidae. The transcript has 5 exons.